AGGGAUUUCUAGGAAAAUAAGCGAUAUUUAAGGUGAAAAACAGGGAUUUCUAUGAAAAUAAGCGAUAUUUAAGGUUAAAAACAGGGAUUUCUAUGAAAAUAAGCGAUAUUUAAGGUUAAAAACAGGGAUUUCUAUGAAAAUAAGCGAUAUUUAAGGUUAAAAACAGGGAAUUAUAUGAAAAUAAGCGAUAUUUAAGGGGAAAAACAGGGAUUUCUAUGAAAAUAAGCGAUAUUUAAGGUUAAAAACAGGGAUUUCUAUGAAAAUAAGCGAUAUUUAAGGUUAAAAACAGGGAUUUCUAUGAAAAUAAGCGAUAUUUAAGGUUAAAAACAGGGAAUUAUAUGAAAAUAAGCGAUAUUUAAGGGGAAAAACAGGGAUUUCUAUGAAAAUAAGCGAUAUUUAAGGUGAAAAAACAGGGAUUUCCAUGAAAAUAAGCGAUAUUUAAGGGGAAAAACAGGGAUUUCUAUGAAAAUAAGCGAUAUUUAAGGUUAAAAACAGGGAUUUCUAUGAAAAUAAGCGAUAUUUAAGGUUAAAAACAGGGAUUUCUAUGAAAAUAAGCGAUAUUUAAGGGGAAAAACAGGGAUUUCUAUGAAAAUAAGCGAUAUUUUAGGGUUAAAAACAGGGAUUUCUAUGAAAAUAAGCGAUAUUUAAGGUUAAAAACAGGGAUUUCUAUGAAAAUAAGCGAUAUUUAAGGUUAAAAACGGGGAUUUCUAAGAAAAUAAGCGAUAUUUAAGGUGAAAAACAGGGAUUUCUAUGAAAAUAAGCGAUAUUUAAGGGGAAAAACAGGGAUUUCCAUGAAAAUAAGCGAUAUUUAAGGUGAAAAACAGGGAUUUCUAUGAAAAUAAGCGAUAUUUAAGGUUAUAAACAGGGAUUUCUAUGAAAAUAAGCGAUAUUUAAGGUUAAAAACAGGGAUUUCCAUGAAAAUAAGCGAUAUUUAAGGUUAAAAACAGGGAUUUCUAUGAAAAUAAGCGAUAUUUAAGGUUAAAAACAGGGAUUUCUAUGAAAAUAAGCGAUAUUUAAGGUGAAAAACAGGGAUUUCUUUGAAAAUAAGCGAUAUUUAAGGGGAAAAACAGGGAUUUC
Long non-coding RNA from Lagopus muta (rock ptarmigan), 1077 nucleotides. RefSeq lists it as uncharacterized. NCBI's taxonomy places the organism in Eukaryota, Metazoa, Chordata, Aves, Galliformes, Phasianidae. The transcript has 5 exons. The record is from RefSeq and is a predicted model, not a curated record.